Molecule: long non-coding RNA, 937 nt
Organism: Lolium rigidum
Lineage: Eukaryota; Viridiplantae; Streptophyta; Magnoliopsida; Poales; Poaceae
Exons: 4
Source: RefSeq, a predicted model, not a curated record
UGUUCUUAUGCUUCAUUGCUUUGUGCAUUUACAUUUGGGUAUUCAUUACUCGUCAAAGACUCGGUGAUUUAUUUGGCUAGUUUGGGUGUGAGAAUCAAAAUAUCAGCAUGGUAUAAUUCACGAGUAAAAUAGAAUUUGUUGCUGCACUACUGAUAUUAUGGACAUCUUCGUCCUUUGUGUACAUAAAUCUGGCGUUCUUGCAUUUGAACGAACGGAAGUUAUCAGUUUAGUGCUUAGCAAGGCUGCAGCAAGCGGAACCCAUCUGAAUUGCGCUCACGCCCGUGAAGCCCCUCCAUCGGGCCAUUUCAAUGUCUGACCGACAGUUUUGUCUUCCAAUUCUCAUCAGGCCAGUAGACUCUAGACUGUUUGAUGCCGCCGAAGAUGAUCUGACAAGCGAAAGAGGCAACUUGAGCCGCAUGUGUAGGCCAGGUGCCGCGGUUGGGCAUGGGCUCGUAGGCACCUCUACUCGUCGCCCACCAUGUUGGGGUGGUCCGCAAAGGAUGCCCAGAACCUUCACUUCAGUCAUCGAUCGACUCGUUGCCACGGAGGGGAAGAAGUGCAGGAUCAGAGAUGCUGAUGGAGCCGAUGACGUCAUCGGGGCUGUACACGAUGUCAGGGUGCUCUAGGAACAUGUGUACAGUCAAAAGGGGGAGGAUGAAGAUGAGGAGGAGAGCGUGAAUGCAAUGGGAGGCGACAUGGCCCCCUUUGUCGGAGUGGCAAUACAAGGGAUCGAAAGUGUUGACCAUAUUACUCCUGAUGACUAACCAUACAUCACUUGUCUUCUAUUGGAGUUGUUGCCCUAAACAACAACUAUAUCAUGCGAGCUCCCAUUCUCUUUGCAUAUCACCGUUGACGUGUAUCUGAAUUUCCAUCUAGAGAACAAACAUAGAUAUAUAUAUAUGUAACUGAUGUCGAGAUGUCUAGAGGUCGUGGAAAA